Molecule: transfer RNA, 80 nt
Filed under: Micromonospora saelicesensis
Lineage: Bacteria; Bacillati; Actinomycetota; Actinomycetes; Micromonosporales; Micromonosporaceae
Description: tRNA-OTHER
Source: RNAcentral
GGGAUGUGGCGCAGUUUGGCAGCGCGCCCGCCUCGACGACGGAAAGGUCGCUGGGCCGUGGGGUUCGAAUCCCGCCCCCG